GCUAAUACCGCAUACGUCCUACGGGAGAAAGCAGGGGACCUUCGGGCCUUGCGCUAUCAGAUGAGCCUAGGUCGGAUUAGCUAGUUGGUGGGGUAAUGGCUCACCAAGGCGACGAUCCGUAACUGGUCUGAGAGGAUGAUCAGUCACACUGGAACUGAGACACGGUCCAGANUCNUACGGGAGGCANCAGUGGGGAAUAUUGGACAAUGGGCGAAAGCCUGAUCCANNCAUGCCGCGNGUGUGAAGAAGGUNUUCGGNUUGUAAAG
Molecule: ribosomal RNA, 266 nt
Filed under: Pseudomonas fluorescens
Lineage: Bacteria; Pseudomonadati; Pseudomonadota; Gammaproteobacteria; Pseudomonadales; Pseudomonadaceae
Description: partial 16S ribosomal RNA
Rfam family: Bacterial small subunit ribosomal RNA
Source: RNAcentral